RNAcentral lists this ribosomal RNA (496 nucleotides) under uncultured bacterium. RNAcentral's name for it is "bacterial SSU rRNA". It matches the Rfam family "Bacterial small subunit ribosomal RNA", at positions 903 to 1397 of the family's 1533-position model. The record is from RNAcentral.
AAAGGAAUAGACGGGGGCCCGCACAAGCGGAGGAGCAUGUGGUUUAAUUCGAUGAUACGCGAGGAACCUUACCUGGGCUCGAACGGUACAUGAAUUAAAUGCGAAAACGUUUAAGACCUUCGGGACAUGUAUCGAGGUGCUGCAUGGUUGUCGUCAGCUCGUGCCGUGAGGUGUCAGGUUAAGUCCUAUAACGAGCGCAACCCCUAUAUUUAGUUACCAGCAUUUCGGAUGGGGACUCUAGAUAUACUGCCUACGCAAGUAGAGAGGAAGGUGGGGAUGACGUCAAAUCAGCACGGCCCUUACGUCCAGGGCUACACACGUGCUACAAUGGUCAAAACAGAGGGCAGCUACACAGUGAUGUGAUGCUAAUCCAUAAAAAUUGAUCUCAGUUCGGAUCGAAGUCUGCAACUCGACUUCGUGAAGUUGGAUUCGCUAGUAAUCGCAUAUCAGCCAUGAUGCGGUGAAUACGUUCCCGGGCCUUGUACACACCGCCCGU